RNAcentral lists this long non-coding RNA (285 nucleotides) under Monodelphis domestica (gray short-tailed opossum). RNAcentral describes it as "lncRNA (ENSMODG00000040528.1)". Lineage: Eukaryota; Metazoa; Chordata; Mammalia; Didelphimorphia; Didelphidae. The record is from RNAcentral.
AAAUUGUCUACCCCUGCCCUGUGGGGCAGUGUCUGUGGGUUCCACUUCUCAUCCUCUGAGGGUGUAAACUCUUAUCAAAGGACUCACAAGUUUCUAACUGAGUUAAAAGAGUGGACCUCUCCAACAAUAAAUCAUGGGAGUUCCAUCCUGAUCUACAUUCCAAGCUCCUGAAGAACAUCUAUUGCUAAGGACAAGUUUCUUUCUUGCUGUCUAAUCCCACAGACUUGUCUCCUCUUUCUUAGAUUCCUCUAAAACCUGUAUUCUACUCCUGCUCCUCAGGCUUAG